Molecule: long non-coding RNA, 615 nt
Filed under: Nicotiana tabacum (common tobacco)
Lineage: Eukaryota; Viridiplantae; Streptophyta; Magnoliopsida; Solanales; Solanaceae
Description: long non-coding RNA (NTAB_LNC010838)
Source: RNAcentral
CUUGUUCUCCAGGUGGGUGCCUGAUUGCCAAAACAUGAAUUAUAUUCCCUUGUUCUUCAGGUGGAAGCCUGAUAGCCAAAACAUGAACGAUAUUCCCUUGUUCUCCAGGUAGGCACCUGAUUGCCAAAACUUGAACUGCAUUCCCUUGUUCUCCACGUGGGCGCCUGUUUGCCAAAACUUGAACUAUAUUCCCUCGAUUCCAGGUAGGCGCCUGAUUGCCAAAACUUGAACUAUAUUCCCUUGUUCUCCAGGUGGGUGCCAGAUUGCCAAAACAUGAACUGUCUUCCGUUGUUCUUCAGGUGGGUGCCUGUUUGCCAGAACUUGGACUUUACAUCCUUGAACUGUAUUCCCUCGUUGUCCAGGUAGGCGCCAUAUUGCUGAAACUUGAAUUAUAUUCCCUUGUUCUCCAGGUGGGUGCCAGAUUGCCAAAACUUGAACUGUCUUCCGUUGUUCUUCAGGUGGGUACCUAUUUGCCGGAACAUGGAGUGUAUUUCCUUAUUCACCAGGUAGGUGCCUGAUUGCCAAAAUUUGAACUGUAUUCCCUUGUUCUCCAAGUGGUUUCUAAAUCUUGAACUGUACUCCCUUAAUCUCCAGGUGGGUGCCUGAUUGCCAAAA